Molecule: ribosomal RNA, 253 nt
Filed under: uncultured bacterium
Lineage: Bacteria
Description: partial 16S ribosomal RNA
Rfam family: Bacterial small subunit ribosomal RNA
Source: RNAcentral
UACGUAGGGUGCAAGCGUUAAUCGGAAUUACUGGGCGUAAAGCGUGCGCAGGCGGUUGUGCAAGACCGAUGUGAAAUCCCCGGGCUUAACCUGGGAAUUGCAUUUGUGACUGCACGGCUAGAGUGUGUCAGAGGGGGGUAGAAUUCCACAUGUAGCAGUGAAAUGCGUAGAUAUGUGGAGGAAUACCGAUGGCGAAGGCAGCCCCCUGGGAUAACACUGACGCUCAUGCACGAAAGCGUGGGGAGCAAACAGG